Long non-coding RNA from Hyla sarda, 459 nucleotides. RefSeq lists it as uncharacterized. The record is from RefSeq and is a predicted model, not a curated record. Lineage: Eukaryota; Metazoa; Chordata; Amphibia; Anura; Hylidae. The transcript has 3 exons.
CUGGGCCGGAUGGAUAAGAAAAGGAAAUUGACUGACACGGAUCAGAGAAGACGUCACCUGAUGUAACUAGCACUGGUAAUAUAGAAGAAGAAGAAGGCAACAAGUCUGUAAACCGGUGACUGUAGAACUGGAAAACGAAAGACUAAAAUGAGAAAAUUAAUGAGAGUCCAAGGGAGAGGGCAAAGGGUAAAGUUCCUGGAUCUAAAGAAAGCACAAAGUCCUGGAUACUGCAAAUUCAUCUCAUCUAGGCCAAAGCCUAAGGAACAGCAGCCACUUCUAAAUUGUGAGUUACAAUUCUCUCUUCAAAUCCAAUGACUACUACUCAGCUAAGGAAUAUAUUAGCAGCACAGUGGCCUGCAUAAAUAUCCUCACAACUACAAGUCCAAGCAAGCCUGCGAGGAAUCCUGUGUCCCGGUUGCCUCUGUGGAAACUGCAUUACAGUAAAGACUGUUUCCUGAA